RNAcentral lists this ribosomal RNA (290 nucleotides) under uncultured bacterium. RNAcentral's name for it is "partial 16S ribosomal RNA". It matches the Rfam family "Bacterial small subunit ribosomal RNA", at positions 28 to 334 of the family's 1533-position model. The record is from RNAcentral.
GAUGAACGCUGGCGGCGUGUUUAAGGCAUGCAAGUCGAAUGCACUUAGGGUGCAUGGCAGACGGGAGAGGAACACAUUGGUAACCUGCCCUCAAGAGAAGGAUAAUCUUCUGAAAAGAAGGAUAAUACUUCAUGUGCUGUGAACUAAAAAUAAUUCAUAGUAAAGAUUUAUCGCUUGAGGAGGGGCCUAUGACCUAUCAGCUUGUUGGUGAGGUAAAAGCUCACCAAGGCUAUGACGGGUACCGGGUGUGAGAGCAUGACCCGGCUCAAUGGGACUGAGACACUGCCCAU